UUCCCUACUCUAGCUGAUUGUUUCUUCCCUUUCUCUUUAUUCGCCUUCCUAACAGACCUCUUCCUUAGCUUUUCCCAUGUUGCUCUUCCUUCCCUUAUGUUCUUCCGCUAGACUCUUGCUUCAAGGGCAGCAGCUCCUUGCUAGUUCAUUCAUUCUUUCCCCGUUGCCUGCACAGUUUUCUUUGCACCUUUCCUAGGCUCAUGAAAAGUCUCCUGGUUACUUAAUGACCAACCAACGAUGACUCUACCCUUCAGUCUUUUCCCUCUUAGCCUCAUCUCCUGCCCUUAUCAUCCUCGUUAAUAGCUAAUUUGUACCAGGCCUUGAAUUGAUUGUUCUUCCUGCAUCAGCUCGUUUAAUUAUUACACUGAUCCUAUGUGGUGGGCAUGCUCAGUUAGUUCCAUUACUCGAGGAACUUAGGCUUGAACCAUCACACACCACAAGCCUGAACCCCAUGGUCAACCUGCCUGAAGCCCUGAUGACAGCCAGGAGUGAACCCUGGAUGAUCCGACAUCAAAGUUCGAACCACCACAGGCAUCGCCACCUUUUCUGGGUGAGGUUGCUCAUGAAAAGGGAUCCAACAAAAAUACAAGACUGCCACCUUUGCCUCCUCAUCCAGGACAGAGCAACUCUCCCUUUCCUUCUUGCAACAAAGGAGGCAAAACACACCCUCCCACCACCAUCCCUCAACUGAGCCAAGUGACGGAGACCGCAGAAAGAUCCUACCCACCUUGUGAGGGUGGAAGGAGAAGACAGCUGUCCCCGAGGAAGCCAGUCCUCACCAGACACUGGAUUCGCUGGUGUCCUGAUCUUGAGCUUCCCAGACUCCAGAACCAUGAAGAACACAUCACUGCUUGCCUGUAAGUCACUUGGUUUAUGGUAUUUUUUUAGUAGGAACCCCAAGACACUAAGACACUGCUGGGCUCUACUAGAGCUUGAGAAUGAGGACCCC
Molecule: long non-coding RNA, 949 nt
Filed under: Heterocephalus glaber (naked mole-rat)
Lineage: Eukaryota; Metazoa; Chordata; Mammalia; Rodentia; Bathyergidae
Description: lncRNA (ENSHGLG00000026440.2)
Source: RNAcentral